Camelus dromedarius (Arabian camel) is the source of this 1493-nucleotide RNA transcript. It is a transcript of the gene named cystatin-8, with no coding region annotated. Lineage: Eukaryota; Metazoa; Chordata; Mammalia; Artiodactyla; Camelidae. The record is from RefSeq and is a predicted model, not a curated record. The transcript is spliced from 2 exons.
GUGGGCGCUGUUCCGCGGGGCCAGGCUGGGAGGGACGGCUGGUCGGGGGGGGGUGUCUCUUCUUGCGGCUUAGGGUGCAGGGGGUCCAUGAACCACUGUCCAUGUAGGAACUUUGCUUUUAUGUGUACGAAGUGCUCACAAUCCCCUAGUGUGGAGAAUGCGUCCCCACAUGCACGCAGACACAAGGGCACGCACGCGAACACACACACACAAGGAUCAUGGCCUCGUCCCAAACUACUGAACCAGAAAGUCAGGUCCAGACACCCCCCACCCCCGUCGUGUCGCUGGAGCACCCUGCGUUAGGGACAAUGACUGUUUGAUACGCGGCCGCCCUUCAUUUGCUGGUGUUUUAGGGUGCUCCAUUUAGUCGGGGAGUGAGGGUUAUAAUUGGUUUCUCAGUUCUGUUUGGUUCCAGGGUUUCUCUGGUCUGGUGUCAUGAGAAUGAGGCUUUCCAUCGUUUCUGUGAUCUGGUUCCGUUAAAGACCAAAGGAGGUUUGGGGUCCCAGGGCUCGAUGACUUGGUGUUUUUUGCGGGUUUGUGGGAGGAGGAGGCGCGUAAUCCCCUUCUGCACAUGGCCAGGACCCACAGGGACCUAAGCCCUUCUCCCUGCCACCCUGGGGUGCUGAGUGCCUUCCAGGCAGCGACGGAAGACGCCCUUCGCUGUCUUCCAGGACCGCUACCUGCCUGGCCCCGUCCUCCGUCCCUGCCCCCGUGCACCCGUCUGUGACCCACACAUGGAACAUUUCACUUGUCAUUUCAGUGGCAUUUCGAGGAGAGAAGUGGCCUUUGGAGGAAAAGUUCCGUUCGGCCCCAGAACCCGCCACAUUGCUCUUUCCCUGGUGUCCGCGUUCUCAGGGCCCAGGGCGUUACCGGGGCUUUACGAUCACCCACAUCACACUGUGCCUGGCACAGAACCGCGGCACUUAGGCUGUAGAAAAUACUCAUUCGGAGGUGCACCUUCCUGGUGGGCGCGCUCCCCUGGCACGGCGACUUCACCGUGAUGAGGAAAGAGUGCGUGGACGUCUAGGGGCCCCGGGCCCCGCUGCAGCCCCCUCCUCCACGCCGGGAGCCCGGCGUGCGCGCUCUCACCAACACGCUUUCCUCACCGCUGCCCGUGGCUUGCUGUUUUGCUUCCUAGUCUCGCAUCAGCUGGUGGCAAAAGAUGGGCGUGUCCCAGUCCUCCUUCCUGGCCUGGGGGAGGCUGCUCGCCGUGCAGCCCGCGGUGCACCGCCACCAGGAACAAGGACCGUUUGUCACUGAGCAUAAAGUGGUGGGGGGUAAGGUCUGACUCUCUCUCCCACUGACGUCUCGGGGGAAUCCCUUUGUGAUGGGUACCGCCCCUCACAGGGGCCUGAGCCCAGUGGGUACCAACUCCCAGGUGCCCCUGGGAGGCGUCCUUCAGCUUGAGGGCCGGAUCACCUGGGUGGGCUGGGGGCCGCCCUGGCAGAAGCAGCGCUCCCCACCCCCAGGGGUCUCUGUGAACUGGGGGAAUU